This is a long non-coding RNA of Ananas comosus (pineapple), 1115 nucleotides long. RefSeq lists it as uncharacterized. The transcript is spliced from 6 exons. The record is from RefSeq and is a predicted model, not a curated record. Lineage: Eukaryota; Viridiplantae; Streptophyta; Magnoliopsida; Poales; Bromeliaceae.
UUGGCUCAGGAAAAACAGGGUAAGCCCCUCUCUUUCUCUCUCUAAAACUUCUCUCUAUUUUUUAAUAGAAGUAAAUGGAAUUAGUUCUUUUCUCUUCUCUUCUUCAUGUUGGCUGAUGUUGUGAGCUGUGGGGGAGUUACGAAAGAGGUGACGGAGAGUCUCUGUGGUCAUAAACUCCAACCCUAGCUCAGGAAUUUGCUGAGCUUAAAGCUUUGGAUGCUGGUUUGGAGAAGUUUACAGCAGCUGUGGAGGUAUGGGAGGAAGUAUUUUGGCUAUGGUUCUUCAAUCCUAGCUCAGUAGAAACUGAGUUAGAACUUCGGAAGGUUAUUGGACCCCUUUGGCUGAGAUUUCUGAUCUUUGGAAGGUUGGUUUUGGUGUAUUCCAACCUGAAUUGAAGAGAAGAUUAAGUUUGGAUUCUAUACUAGGCACAAUUCUACCUAAGUGAGAUGUUUAUGUGAGGUAUUGUGUAGAAGUUUAAGUAAAACUUCUGUCACAACCCGCAACCACCCGCCCAUUUGGCCGGGUCGCGGCGUCGCCGACAGACCGCCGAACGGACAAAGUUUUUCCUGUACUGCGGGCAGAGUCUUCCCUGUACGUCCAAGGCGUCGCAAUCAAUAUAAUCAAGGCCGACUCAGGGUACCGCUAUCUCUGGUCUCGGUGAUGGGGCGCUAACUAUAGAACUACGCCCUCGCCUCGCGCCGCCGCGCCGCUCACGUGUAAACCUGUAACACCCCAAAACAACGUGGGGUGAGAACCAACUCCAUGGUUCCCAGUGGGUACGGCCACCCAAGGAAAAAGCUCAACCAAUAGGUCUAAUGAGGCACUGCAACAGGGUGCUUGAAGGCUAGCAAACAUCUUCACUCACGGGAUCGACAAGAGCCGACGUGCAAUUUGAGCCUUCCACAGCGGGAAAGGCUAGGGUUCCUGACGAGGGGUUAGCGGCUAGCUAGAGCCUUCUCGAUGUUAAAUAGAUGAACCUCUACAUGUUUAUUCUAGUUUAGUUCAGUGCUGUAUAUUGGGACAAUGUAGAAUGUACUUUGUUUUUAUAAGCUGUAUUAGGGUUUUGUGUUGUAUAAGCUUAUGAACUUUUAGUUUUACUCUGAUUACCUGGUUAA